GAUGAACGCUGGCGGCGUGCCUAAUACAUGCAAGUCGAGCGAACAGACGAGGAGCUUGCUCCUCUGACGUUAGCGGCGGACGGGUGAGUAACACGUGGAUAACCUACCUAUAAGACUGGGAUAACUUCGGGACACCGGAGCUAAUACCGGAUAAUAUAUUGAACCGCAUGGUUCAAUAGUGAAAGACGGUUUUGCUGUCACUUCUAGAUGGAUCCGCGCCGCAUUAGCUAGUUGGUAAGGUAACGGCUUACCAAGGCGACGAUGCGUAGCCGAGCUGAGGGGGUGAUCGGCCACACGGGAACUGAGACACGGUCCAGACUCCUACGGGAGGCAGCAGUAGGGAAUCGUCCGCAAUGGGCGAAAGCCUGACGGGGCAACGCCGCGUGAGUGAUGAAGGUCUUCGGAGCGUAAAACUCUGUUAUUAGGGAAGAACAAAUGUGUAAGUAACUAUGCACGUCUUGACGGUACCUAAUCAGAAAGCCACGGCUAACUACGUG
This 497-nucleotide ribosomal RNA is filed under the name uncultured bacterium. RNAcentral's name for it is "partial 16S ribosomal RNA". It matches the Rfam family "Bacterial small subunit ribosomal RNA", at positions 28 to 507 of the family's 1533-position model. The record is from RNAcentral.